This 237-nucleotide ribosomal RNA is filed under the name Klebsiella pneumoniae. RNAcentral's name for it is "partial 16S ribosomal RNA". It matches the Rfam family "Bacterial small subunit ribosomal RNA", at positions 492 to 728 of the family's 1533-position model. The record is from RNAcentral. Lineage: Bacteria; Pseudomonadati; Pseudomonadota; Gammaproteobacteria; Enterobacterales; Enterobacteriaceae.
ACCGGCUAACUCCGUGCCAGCAGCCGCGGUAAUACGGAGGGUGCAAGCGUUAAUCGGAAUUACUGGGCGUAAAGCGCACGCAGGCGGUCUGUCAAGUCGGAUGUGAAAUCCCCGGGCUUAACCUGGGAACUGCAUUCGAAACUGGCAGGCUAGAGUCUUGUAGAGGGGGGUAGAAUUCCAGGUGUAGCGGUGAAAUGCGUAGAGAUCUGGAGGAAUACCGGUGGCGAAGGCGGCCCC